This 7117-nucleotide long non-coding RNA is filed under the name Gossypium barbadense (sea-island cotton). RNAcentral's name for it is "long non-coding RNA (GBAR_LNC006948)". The record is from RNAcentral. Lineage: Eukaryota; Viridiplantae; Streptophyta; Magnoliopsida; Malvales; Malvaceae.
AAAAACUGAAACACAUAAAAGUGAUAGCCUACAAAACCCAAUCCAAUGAAAAAUAGAAUAACAAAAUCCAAAAAGAAAAACGAAUCCCAUGAAAAAAAACACAAAAAAUUAAAAAUUAAAAAAAAAAAAGCAAAUAAAAUGAAAUGCCCCAAGCCACUCCUCCAGUCAGUAAAAUAGUUGGCACCCACUCCUUAGAAAAUAUCCAAACCCUCAAAACUUGUCAGUACCAGUUUCCAAAAACCAACAGCCUUUCAAAAUCAAAACCAUUUGCUAUUCAUUCCUCUCCCUAAAGCCUACCUCUUCCUCUUUUGUCAAUCUAAUUCCCUCCUUCUCCUCCCCCAUAAUCUAUCAUCAACGACUAUCAGCACACUUCCAAUUAGGUAACUCUCUCUUCUAUUCUAUAAGCAAUCUGUGGCUAAACUAUGUGCUAGGGUAUUAGCAGAUCUGGGUAUGUGUUUGAACUUGAUACUAUGAAAACUCAUUUUCAACUGUUGUAUGUCCCAAAUAAUCGCCUCUAUCUCCAAUUUAUCUCGGAUGUCCGAUUGACUUUUUUUAAUAAUGGUUCUUGCAUCUCUUUCUAUGGUAACUGAUGAAAGGCCCAAAUGGUUUGCCAAAAGCAACGCUUGAAGGCACGCAUAUCCUUUCAUUGCAAACAGCGAAGCAAUCUUCUUGUGUAGUGUAUGUUUCGAAGCCAAAAUCUAACCUCGAGGUUUACAAACAACCACUCCAGGUCCAGAUCUCACCAAACUUUGAUUAUAAGCUGCAUCAAAAUUAACUUUGACAUCAGAACCUAAUGGCGCACACCAUUCCUCAUUAACAACAUAUCUUGUAAACUUCUUAUCUUUUAAACUGUCAAUCUCUCCAAUAGAUCUUGUUAUCCAAUCCGAUAUUUCUUUUCCUUUAAUCUGACUCCCCUCAUGCAGGACUAGAUUUCUAUUUGUCCAAAUUCCAUAGAUUGCACAACAAAAUAAUCUGCACUGGCCACUGGAACUCAUUCGAAAAAUCCAGGUAAACCAAUCUUCGUCGUUCAUAUCAAAAUUAGAAAAAAUCCAGUUUAGAUUUAAAUAAUCCCAAACUUCUAUUGAUAUAGGACAUUCUUUGGAAACAUGAUACAGGGACUCUAUUGCUCCACGACACCUGGACACAAGAUAUCUCCUCUAAUCCUUCUGUGUUGGAGAUUAACAAAAGUAGGCAGGAAAUUCCAAGUGGUUUUCCACAAAUAAAUUUUUACUUUUGAAGGGAUUUUUAGAUACCAUAGUUUUUUGUAUAGCUCCCAAGACUCAUAAUGUCUAUAAUUAGGGUUAAAAGUACCUUUAUGUAAUAGUUUAUAGGUGCUUCAGAUAGAAAAUUCCCUAAAAGAUUCCCCCUCCAAACCCAUAUAUCUUCAAUCCCUUCCCAAGCAAAGGAGUUCAUAAGAUUUUCAACGCAAUCUCAUCAGAAAAGGUACUGUUAAUUAGAUUUACUUUCUAUUCCUAGUAUCUACAUCAAUGAAAUCAAAAACUAAGAUUAACCUCCAGUAUUAACUUGUUCAUUAAUUUUGUAGUUAGGGGGAACCCGAGCCAAGCAUCAUCUUUUACUAAUAUAUUUGAACCUAAACCAACACUCCAACAAAACCUGUUCCGCAGAAGACCCCUAGCCGCCCACACACUUUUCCAGGUAUACGAAGGUAAAUUGCCUAAUCUCGCAUUAAAAAAAUCAGAGUUCGAAAAAUAUUUUGCCUUUAACACACGAGAUAAUAAUGAAUUGGGAAAAUUAAUAAUACACCACCCUUCUUUAGCUAGCAAAGCAACAUUAAAUUUUGCAAGGCUGCGAAAACCGAACCCCCCAAUCUCCUUUGCUUCACUCAAACGAUCCCAAGUGCACCAAUGUAUAUCCUUCUUACCAAAUCCUUCUUGCCACUAAAAUUUUUCCAUAAUACUCUCCAAUUUGUUACAAAAUGUCUUACGCAAUAAGAAACAAACCAUCGAAUAAUUGGGAAUAGCUUGAAAGAAUAGCUUGAAAGACUGAUUUAAUAAACACUUAUUUGCCCCAUUGAGACAAGUACCUAACACUCCAACUGUCCUUAAGAAUUUGAAAAGAAGCUUUCUUCCUUUUCCCUAUCAUGUUAGGCAACCCAAGAUAUCUUUCAGGGUCAUUCGAAUACUUAACUCCCAAAAUCCCUGAUACGAGUUGCCAAUCACCCAUUGAAGUAUUCAUGAUGAAGAAAAUAGUGGAUUUACUAAAGUUAAUACAUUAGCCAGAACAUUGCUCAUACUCUCUUAAAACCCCUUUUAAUAUUUGUGUCCCCUUCGCAUUCGCUUCCUCAAAUAAAAUAGAAUCAUCAGAAAAUAACAAAUGCAAAAUUCGAGGGACAUUUCUACUCGUCUUUACCCCUUUUAACAAGCCAUCUCUCAUAGCUAACCUCAUAAGGGAUGAUAAUCACUCACUACAAAUCAAAAAUAGAAAAGGACUCAAAAGAUCACAUUGUCGAAGUCCUCUAUUAGGUCAAAACCUUUCACUAAUUUUCCCAUUUACUACCAUCGAAUAUGAAACUAUAGAGAUACAUUUCAUUAUGGUCUCAACCCAUCGAGUAUCAAAUUCCAUUCGUACCAAAAUUUCCUAAAUAAAUUGUCAUUUCACUCUAUCAUAGGCCUUACUCAUAUUUAACUUCAAGGCCAUGAAUCCCCUUUUCCCCACUCUUCUCUUACGAACGUGUGCAAAAUCUCAUAAGCUAAUAGCACAUUAUCUGAAAUAAAUCUCUAAGGUACAAAAGAACAUUGGGAUUUAUCAAUGCUUGCAUUCGAUACCCUCUUAAACUGAUUAACAAUCAUUUUAGCAAUCAAUUUAUACAGAACAUUACAUAGGCUAAUAGGCCUAAAAUUCACUAAAUUUGUAGGAUUAGGAAUUUUCGGGAUCAACACUAUGUUGGUCAUAUUAAGCACGUCAAAAUCCAUACCUUUAUUUAAAACUUUCAAGCAGAAAUCAAUAACAUUUCUCCCAAAAAUCUGCCAGUACUUUUGGAAAAACAAAGUUAGAAACCCAUUGUCUCCAAAGGCUUUAGUUGGACCUAUUUCUUUCAACGUUGUGACGACUUCAUCCUCCAAAUAGGUUGUCGUUAGCUUCGAAUUGACAUCUUGUGAAAUAACAUUAUCAAUACCCGAAGAAUAUGAGACAUAUCUUCAACUCCACUAAAUGUAAAAAGCUUUUGGAAAUAACCCCGGGCAAUUUCUUCCAUUUCGCCCUCAUCACUAGUUUCCCUUCCAUCCUCAUAUUGUAAAGAUCGUAUGCAAUUCUUGUGCCUCUGAUGGGAAGCAUGAUUAUGAAAAAAAAGUUUUAUUUCUAUUCCCCCACUUUCAACCAAUUUGCAUGGGGUCUUUGCUCCCAAUAUCUCUCAUCCUUGUCAAUCUCGAGAUUUAAAUGGACCUUUGUAUCAAUGAUCUUCGCAAGACUCUCAUCAUUAACAUUCGUCCUCAUCAACUCUUUUAACUCCCUUGUCAAAUCCGUUUUGAGACCUUUUCUUUUUAAUUUAAUCGAACCAGACCAAUCCACUAAUCUCUUCUUUAGGUCCUCAAAUUUAAUCAAUAAAUCACCAGAAGUAGACGCCCAAAUAUUCACCAUAGCUUCCUUAAAAGAAUCUUCUAAUAUCCACCAAGCUUUAAACUUAAACCUUCUCCCUUUUAAAACAUUAGAACCCUGAUCAAUUCGAAUGAGAAGAGGGCAAUGAUCUAAGAAAGAAUAAGGAAAAUGUUAAAUUAUCGCAUUAACCAUUCAGCAAUAGCCACACCCCUAUCUAAACUUUCCCUAACAUUCGUCUCUGGUAAAUUCCUCAUUUCCAAUGUAAACCAAGCCCCGGAAUAACCAAUAUCCAUCAACUAACACUCCCCCAACACCUUUCUAAAAGCCUCCAUUCUAUUUUCCUCCCUUGUCAACCCCCUCACUUUUUUAAAAGCAUACAUGAUUUCAUUAAAAUUCCCACAUACCAACCAAGGAAGAUCACAAACACUACCUAAUUUACGUAAUACCCUCCACGAAUCAUCCCAAUUGUGUGCAUAAGGGAAACCAUAAAAUCCAACGAAUCUCUAGAUUUUUCCUUCUUCAAUAUCCUCCAUAUUAAUAUUAACGUGCCUAAUUGAAAUUUUUUUGAGAGUGAUCGAGACAUUACCCCUCCAAUCCAAACAAAGCCCUCAUCUGGUUCCCUUAGUCGAAACAUCAAUUUUGCUAAAAAACCCACACAUUUUUUGAACUUUUUUUCAUUUUUUACACUAUUUAUUUUAGUUUUCAUAAAGAAGACCACUUACGGAUUAUGCAACUUCAGCAUACACCGAAGUCUUCGUAUAGCCUGAAGGCGAACAUUUCAACUUAUCAUUUUCAUUGCGACCGGUCAGCAUGCCCCUUGGCAACCGCUAAUACAAAAACAAUUUCCAACACCUUUCCAUCAGUUGUCCCCAAAAAUCCAAACUCCACCCCCUGACUACAUUCAUUCUCUAUCCCUUCUAGGCCUCUUUUUACCAUCCCAUCCCUCUAAUAUAAGCUCUUCCAAAUCAUGCUCCAUGUCCAUUAAGCUUAAUACCUUAGACAGAUCAUUUUCCUAAAGGGACAUAAUGGUUUGAUCCCUUUCUAAAUUUAACCCCAACACUGGAUCAAUACGAAUCCCACUCUCCAUUCUUUCAUCUGUAGCCCAACUCCAUCGACCCAAACUCCAACGUCCAUAAUUACCCCAUUAUACCCCUACACCCUCAUCGCUUAACCACACACUAUUUAUCACCAUAACUUAACUAGAUUUAGCCAUUAAUGUCAAAUCCCAACCCAUCUCUACUACUUUAACGCCUAAAAUCAUCCUUGCUUGAGAAAAUGAAUCAUUAUGUCCCAAUUAACCGCAGAAGAAAAAAAAUAGAGUUAAACGCUCAUAUUUGAAAUACACAUAUGCAAAAUUUCAGGAUGCAAACAUUAACUUCUUCUUUCUCCUCAAAAGGCAUCUAACAUCCAAACAUAUUUGCACCUGCAUAUAACUCCUUAGCCCCCUCCCCAUACUCACACUAUCAUACUUCACAAAUUUCCCAAUGAAAUCACCUAAUUGUCUCACCAACAACCUAGAAAAGAAAAUUGGUGGAACAUCAUUAAUUUGAACCCAAAAAAGGGCAAAAAUCAAGGGCACCUUUAAUGGAUCCUCCCUUAGAACCAACCGAUGAAACUACAAUAAAUGAUUAUUAAACGUCCAAGAAGCUCCAUUAAUAACCCGUUCCAAAUCUAUCUUGUGAAAAACUCUUAACAUGAAUCUUUUUUCUCCUAAAUCUAAUAUCUAAACCCCUUUAACAAGGUGCCAUAAAUUAGUCAUUGUACUCUUCAUAAACAAAAAAUGAAUGACACUAGCCAUCCGAAAACACCCUACCAGACAGAACUCAUUCUCAUUCACUGCCAAUUCCACUUGUCUUUACACCUCCACAAUCUCAUCCUCUUCAUCAUCUAGAGAUAAUGCCGCUAGUUCCCUUUCUAUCAUUAAAACCUUGAUAACCUACACCAACAUCCAACCUUCGUAAAUGAACACAAAACUAAACUUUGCAGCAAAUAAAAAAAACCCAAGCCACACCCAAACCCUAAAAACAUCGUACCAAAACCAAACAUACAAAACCUAAAACCUAAAUCGUGCUAGAAUAUAGUAGACCAGAAGCAUGCUAGAAAGUAGACCUUUUUAUUUGAAUAUGGGUCGUUGUAUAUAAAUUGUUAAAUUGCUAGUUUCUCUUAAUUUCUUGCAUAUUGAUGGGUGUCAAAAUAGACUUCUACAUAGGUAGGGCCAUCUAGCCCAACCCGAAAGCCUGCUCAAAAAGUGGGAGGGUUUGGGCAAAAAUAUAAGCCCAAAAAAUGCGUUUUGGCAAAAAAAAAUAAUGUCCAUUUAAAAAACGAGUCAGGCCUCGGGUAAGGCAUUUUAUGCCCAGGCUCAACCUGGCCCGACUCGAAUUUACAAAAGGACAAAAAAAAUCUACUAUUUUUUUAUUGUUUUAAUGCUACUUUCUUCUUGUUGUUUUUCCCUAUUUCGCUACCAUUUCACUAUUAUGUUGCUCUUUUUUUUGUUAUUGUUUGGAUAUUAUAUAACACUUGUUUUAUUGUUAAUUUUGUUUUUAUUUUAAAAGCAUUUGCUUGUUAAGUUGAAUCUAUAUUAGUGUUAUUUAUAUAUACAUAUUUUUUAAAAUUUAUUUUCAAUUUAUUGAAAAAUAUUUAUUUUAAUACUUUUGGUAUUUUUGAUGUAUUAUAUAUAAUUAAAAAUUAUAUAAAAAUAACAUUAAAAAAUAUUAAUAUGGGGCGGGUCGGGCCGGCCCAGGUCUUAGCAUUUUUAUCCGGGUCGAGCUUGGGAAAAUUUUAGGACCAUUUUUAGGGCCGAGCCUAGGCCUAGCAAACGAGUAUAAAAUUUUGGUUGGACCUGGAUCGACCCAUGAACACCUCUACGUCGAAACCACAAAAUAUAAUUUCACACCCUCUAACUUAAUUAAAUAGUAGUAUAGAGUAAUAGGGUCAAUCCUAUAAGGACUGAGACUCCUAAUUUUCCUGUUUACAUAACCAAAUUCUUAAGUCUAGGUAGCUAUCGUGCCCACGACCUGUGCAUUGUUGAGCUGCAAAAAAUAAAAGGGAGACUUUAGUUAAUAAAGAAAAUAAGAAAAAAACAAAAAUAAAAUAAAAACAGAAUUAUGAUUUCAAAAUAAAAUUAAGGAAAUUAAAUUAAAUUGGUGAAUCAAAUAUAUUAAUACUUAGCCUCAAUCUCGGUACACUCCGAAAUCGAAUCGAUCAUUGAAAGUAGAUUUUCCUUUCUAAAAGAUAAGCUGGUUAUAACGAUCAAGGACAUCCCAACCGCCAACCUUUCCUUAUGUAGAUGGUUCCGGUACGACCUACAAACCAACCCUUUUAGAUUAUCUAACCACAUAACAAGCAUCCGCAAUUUAAGAUCACGAUAGCCUUGCGAUCUAGAAAAGUCCAACUGGAAUUAACGACCUCAACCUCGUGAGUCAUUUAAAUUCAAUCACUAUCUCUAUUGACAAAACCCAACUAGCUUUUUCCAAUUGAACACGUAAAUUUUUUCACAGGAAUUCGAACUCCAUAGAAGACCGUCUCGUUUUCCCAACUGUAUACCAGACAACUCGAACCCAAC